RNAcentral lists this long non-coding RNA (1812 nucleotides) under Anas platyrhynchos platyrhynchos (common mallard). RNAcentral describes it as "lncRNA (ENSAPLG00000020722.1)". Lineage: Eukaryota; Metazoa; Chordata; Aves; Anseriformes; Anatidae. The record is from RNAcentral.
CCAGGCCAGAUUUUAUCUGUCCAAGAGGGAAAAUGUGGCAAGAUUUAUUUAUUUACAGAAGCUCCUCAGUGCAAGGGGAGUUUUGAGCUCCACACAGUGGUGCCGUGGCGCAGCCUGGCUUUUCCCCACUCUGGAGACACAUCUUUUGGCUGGGGUCCCCAGGGGGAGAGGGCAACCCAUGGGAUUUGCCCGCUGUCCUCGGGGCUUGACGCUGCUCUGAAGCUGUAUUUCACCAGUUGCCAUGGCACCACCAGCACAUCAGCCCGAGGAAAGAGAGCAUCCAGAGGGGCUGAGCCAUCCCCGUGGCUCGCUGCUACCCAGGGCUUGGGGUGCCACCGUCCCAGGCAGGAGCAAACUGAUCCCUGGGAUCACUUUGAUGCCUGGUGGAGAUGCCACGUGCCUGGUGGAGAUCUGACCAUGCUCCCAGCCCUGCAGCCGGCUGUGGCACCCAAGGCAGGGGUGGAGAGGUUGGGCAAGAUCAGCCAGCUCCUCGUGGUCUGCAGCAGCUCCAGACUGAGGGAAGGGAGCACGGGGACUGAGGGACAGACCUAGCAGAAGUCAAAAGUAUGGUACUUAACAAGUAUGGAAGUGACGUUGAGCCCACCUGAAACCAGAGGUGUGGCUGUACCCACCUUAUUAUGUUGUGACUAAAGUGCUGCACGUUGUAUUUUCCCUUCUAGGAGAUGAAAACCCAGAGGAAGGCUGAAUUAAGAGCAAAAAUGAAAUCCACAACGAGCAGGGGGUGGUUUUGUUGCAUGGGCUGUUAACCUUACAGACAUGGCCCUUUGGCUCCUGCACCUUAUCCCUGCAAAGGCAUUAAAAGCCCACUGCUCCUACCUCGGACAGACCUAAUUUCAGGUCGAUAGCUCCCAUCCUGGACCACAGCUCCCUUCUCUGUCACCUGUACCGGGUGCUCCCAGCCCUCCCUCUCCCGCCCCAAGGCGUGCUGCAGGCUGACUUUGUGGCCUCAGACUUGUUUUGCUGUCGUGUUUUUCCUGUGCCUGCCUCCAGGCAGACAGCAGGCACGUGGCCCUCCAUCCACUGCUGCUGAUGAUUUAUUUUGCUGUCAAAAGCUCCAGGGCUUUCAGUCACUCUGGGGGUCAGUGGCUCCAACCAGGAGAAGACUUUGCAGUUUUAAGUUUUCUUUAACAUGUGUAACAGCACCCAAAACACAAGUGACUUGGAUUAUUCUCUUGUCCAGCUCUGCCCAAGGUCAAAGCCAAGAACAACACAGACGAGCCAUAGGAAAGCACACAAAAGUCUUCUGCAAGCAUGCACGCAGGGCUCUGCAGCACGAGUGUGGUUUUGCUCUCCCUGGGGCUCUCCAAGGUGAGCCAGGAGCAGCAUCCUCAGGUUACAGAUGGGGAAACUGAGGCAGGCAGCCACCAAGCAGGUCGCAAGCUUACACAGAACAGGGACUAGUCCCUCCUUGGCUUCAGUUGGCUUUAAUUCAGUCGCAGCAAUCCAGGUGAGGUGCCCAUUUUCUAACCCAAAUCCAGGCUGUUUCUGCACCGAAGGAGAGGAGCAGUGCCAGGAGGGAAGGGAACAUGGACGCGGGAGCCAAGCCUUCAUGAAGAGGGGAGGGAGAAAUAGAGAGAUCUCCUAUCUGAGACCCCAGCAUUAAUUCAUAUGUUGAUGAAUGCCAUAAAUUAGAUUGCAAUCAGCCUGCAUUCUCCGGGGACCCGUUCCCCAUAACGAGGCAGAGCCGAGCCUGUUCCCAACCCAGAGAACUUCUGGAGACUCCGAGCGCAGCUCCUUCCUUCCCCGCCCUCGGUAAAUAAAUAACGUUUGAGAAGAGGAAGGUAUUAGCUG